This is a long non-coding RNA of Mesocricetus auratus (golden hamster), 641 nucleotides long. RefSeq lists it as uncharacterized. The transcript is spliced from 3 exons. The record is from RefSeq and is a predicted model, not a curated record. Lineage: Eukaryota; Metazoa; Chordata; Mammalia; Rodentia; Cricetidae.
UUCUGGAUUGUCACAGGUGCUAUAGGACAUCACCAGACCCUCCCAGUAUCAGCUGAGUCAUCUUUCCUUGAUUGCAACCCUGUGUGUCAUCCUCUGCCCGGCCGGCCAGCUCGCCGUGCAGAUCUGAGCUGCAAACGAUAAAGCAGAGCCCAAGGUGACUUCCCGGAUUUGGAAUUUCUCCUCCAAGCCCAAGGACGGCUUAGAGACCCGGCACAUGCAGACAGGCUCCCGACAGUCGCUGCCUUACUCUUCACCCCUAAGUACUAUUUUUGAGGUGUUAAUACUAACACAGAAUUUGCCAAACUGAUAUUAGUUAUGUUUAUGUGAUUUUCCUCCACUAAAUCGUAAGACUCUGAAGAGAACACUUCUUAAAAUCCAUUGGUACAUACUUUGCAUGAUGCAAAUAAAUAAUGCAUAGUUAAACGGGGAGAGCUUCGCUAUUUUUAUUGCCCCAAAGUCUUAAGGAACUAUGAAAAGUUUGUAUUGGGCUAGGGGUGCAGUCAGUUGGUAGAGUGUUUACCUAUCACACUUGAAGCCCCAGGUUCAAUCCCCAGUGUGUAAUAAACCACAGACGAUGCACACCUGUGUUCCCAGCACUUAGGAGGUAGAGGCAGCAGGCUCAGAUGGCUGAGGUUAUUCUU